Molecule: long non-coding RNA, 483 nt
Organism: Ananas comosus (pineapple)
Lineage: Eukaryota; Viridiplantae; Streptophyta; Magnoliopsida; Poales; Bromeliaceae
Exons: 3
Source: RefSeq, a predicted model, not a curated record
AUUGUAUAGCUGUGAGGAUCUUAGCUUUGACUUUGUUAAGUGGACACAUGAACAUGGUACUAUGGCAUGCGUUGGAGCACCAAAAAUUCUGUAUUUCUUUUUAUUGAAGACCUUGCAAUGUUUGGAUUUGAGCCAAUACAUAAUUAGCUGCAUGAUCAAAGGAGAGGAAACUGCAUUAUGUCCCUGAACUCGAACAAAAAGGUGCAAGAUCUGCAAACAGAAGCCACUAAGUUUUCAGCUUAGUGGACAUUUUUAUAGAUUUAUAAGAGGUGGUGGCGAGAAAAAUUUUGGUAGUAUUUUGGCGAUGUAUUCAAUCAAGUUUAAGAAUUUAACAUAUUUUGAAAACUUUACAUUUGAUAGCAUGUAGAAAUGACAAAAACACUAUUAUUGUGUUUUGUUUUUUGGUUGUGUUUGGUAUAUUAGGUGACAAUGCAAUGAUACUCUAACAUUUAAAGUUUGAUUCAGUCUUUCUUAUUUGCCUUA